AGCUUUGCGCAGUGGCGAUAUCGUAACCAAUGAGGUUUUACCGAGGUGCGAUUAUUGCUAGUUGAAAAAAAAUAACUUUUCCGAGGUUCUUGCGAUAGCGGCAUCUUUACUAAUUUAGAUUUGUUUUUUGUUUCAGGUAAC
Small nuclear RNA from Toxorhynchites rutilus septentrionalis, 141 nucleotides. RefSeq annotates it as U4 spliceosomal RNA. The transcript has a single exon. NCBI's taxonomy places the organism in Eukaryota, Metazoa, Arthropoda, Insecta, Diptera, Culicidae. The record is from RefSeq and is a predicted model, not a curated record.